AUUGAACGCUGGCGGCAGGCCUAACACAUGCAAGUCGAACGAGUGGCGGACGGGUGAGUAUUGCCUGGGAAACUGCCUGAUGGCGGGGGAGAACUACUGGAAACGGUAGGUAAUACUGCAUACCAUCAGAUGUGCCCAGAUGGGGGUAGCUAGUUGGUGGGGUAACGACUCACCAAGGCGACGGUCCAUAGCUGGUGUGAGCGGAUGACCAGCCACACUGGAACGGAAACACGGUCCAGACACCUACGGAAGGCAGCAGUGGGGAAUAUUGCACAAUGGGCGCAAGCCUGAUGCAGCCAUGCCGCGUGUAUGAAGAAGGCCUUCGGGUUGUAAAGUACUUUCAGCGGGGAGGCGUUACCCGCAGAAGAAGCACCGGCUAACUCCGUGCCAGCAGCCGCGGUAAUAC
This 406-nucleotide ribosomal RNA is filed under the name uncultured bacterium. Its description in RNAcentral is "partial 16S ribosomal RNA". It matches the Rfam family "Bacterial small subunit ribosomal RNA", at positions 30 to 526 of the family's 1533-position model. The record is from RNAcentral.